UUGGAGCUGCUGGACCUUCACAAGCGGCCACUACCAGAUGCCCCUUUAGGUGCUGAGACCUGGGCAGCAUCUCACAGGUACAUCUCCCCAUCCUGCAGGUCCUGGGACCCGGGCAGCAUCUCACAGGUACAUCUCCCCGUCCUGCAGGUCCUGGGACCCGGGCAGCAUCUCACAGGUCCUGGGACCCAGGCAGCAUCUCACAGGUGCAUCUCCCUGUCCUGCAGGUGCUGGGACCCGGGCAGCAUCUCACAGGUGCAUCUCCCUGUCCUGCAGGUGCUGGGACCUGGGCGGUGUCUCACAGUGGGAGGUGCAUAAGCUCGGGGGACAGCCAACUUUGCUCUGCAUCCCACUCUGCCACUUACUAGAUGUCAGGCUUAAGUUAGGUUACCCAACCUUUCUGAAUCCCAGUUUCCCCACCUAUAAAUAAGAAAUAAUACUGUUAGAACUCAUGUUUCCCCUCAAAAUACCAGAGAACUAAGUUCAAUUAUUUGGAAGCCAGGCAAGGAUACUGUGAAAGGAAAAUAGAAUCUCGGAACCCCGGCCGGGCGCGGUGGCUCAAGCCUGUAAUCCCAGCACUUUGGGAGGCCAAGACGGGCGGAUCAUGAGGUCAGGAGAUCCAGACCAUCCUGGCUAACAUGGUGAAACCCCGUCUCUACUAAAAAAUACAAAAAACUAGCCAGGCGUGGUGGUGCGCGCCUGUAGUCCCAGCUACUUGGGAGGCUGAGGCAGGAGAAUGGCUUGAACCCGAAAGGCGGAGCUUGCAGUGAGCUGAGAUCCUGCCACUGCACUCCAGCCUGGGUGACAGAGCGAGACUCUGUCUCAAGGGAAAAAAAAAAAGAAUCUCGGAACCCCAAACUCAGUAUGUCAAAGGGAAAAGUUAAACUUGGAAGCUGGGUCAUGCAAAAACUGCUGUUCCCUGUGUUCCUAAACAGAUAGCUAC
This 940-nucleotide long non-coding RNA is filed under the name Macaca mulatta (Rhesus monkey). RNAcentral's name for it is "lncRNA (ENSMMUG00000062311.1)". Lineage: Eukaryota; Metazoa; Chordata; Mammalia; Primates; Cercopithecidae. The record is from RNAcentral.